RNAcentral lists this non-coding RNA (28 nucleotides) under Rattus norvegicus (Norway rat). Lineage: Eukaryota; Metazoa; Chordata; Mammalia; Rodentia; Muridae. The record is from RNAcentral.
AAAGCAUCCCAAUCAAGGGCCAGGCGUG